This is a long non-coding RNA of Gadus macrocephalus (Pacific cod), 12205 nucleotides long. RefSeq lists it as uncharacterized. The record is from RefSeq and is a predicted model, not a curated record. The transcript has 3 exons. Lineage: Eukaryota; Metazoa; Chordata; Actinopteri; Gadiformes; Gadidae.
CUAGGAGGUCCCCCAGCCUCACACACACACACACACACACACACACACACACACACACACACACACACACACACACACACACACACACACACACACACACACACACACACACACACACACACACACACACAUCGAAGGGGGGCUCACCUAGCAACUCAUUGUUUACUGUGAGGUCAGCUGUGUUUGUUUGGGGAGGGUGGGUGAUAUAAUUAGUUGAUUUCUUAUUUAUUUUUUAAAGUGUUCAUGGUCACGGACCAUUAAGGAGAAAGUACUUCAAGGUACAUAAAAAAAGAUGACUUUGCCCAUAACUUAAUGGGAAAGAUCAGAGGGAUGUUGUGUUAAAUGGUUGGGCGACAGCAUUAAGGUGGAAUGUGUGUAAAUAAAACACCGCACUACAAACCAGACAACACGUCUGCUGGGCCUGUUUCAACGUCACGCCCUAAUGGCCGUUGUUGCUGCAUGACACAAACAGGUCUCAUCUUACUCCCUUCAUCCGUUUCCCUGUGUUAAGUCGGUUCAACGUGGCGGACUUCACGCACACACCGGGCCGCGUGUGUGGCAGGCACACACAUGCGUCGUGUGCCGUGGGCUCACUUCACUCAAACACAAGUCGGCUGCUGUUGUUUACCACUCAAAGGUUGGACAUUCCGCUUGGUUUCUUCCUGUGUGACCCUUCGCCUACAUUCCCCACUCUGCUUAUCCUGGCCCUGCACUUUUGGGGGCCUUUCUGCCUUCCUGGAUCUAGAUGCACUUUCACCCAGUAGCCAGGGGCCUUUCUCCGGGAGGGGCCCCUGAAUGGGUGGAUAGAGCCCACUGAGGCUGAUUCAGUGAGGAUUAAAUGCAUUUACAUGUCUGGGUUUCAGCGGGAUGAACGCAUUUGAAUCUGGACCACAUAGAAUUUGGUUGUGUGUAUCCCAGUUAACUUCUGAUGGACAGGGAAUCACAUUUUAUGCUUUGGUAGUUGCACCGUUUUGUUUGCGUCGUAAGAUUUCAAAUAGCUCUAUUCAUAAUCAAUGCCAACAAGACUUCAAAACAAACAAAAACAUAAACACUCCCAACCUUCGGGUACAUUCCCAAACACGUCGAUUCUCAAUCGCACACUAUUCGUUUGGAGAUAGGGCAGGGAGGUGGAGAUGAAGAAUGUGUGCUGCCUGUCCAAUCUUAUCCCUGACCUGGUCAUGUACUGAGUACUGACCUCUCGCGAAGGGAUGUCCACAUGGAUGACUCUACCCCUCCCAACUCUCAGGGGGUGGUAGAGUGGGGGGCCGAUGAUUGCAGUACACCCACCCAACAGAGUUAUCUACGUGGUCAGAGAGCUAAUCAGUGCUGUUCUGUUGUUGUGAGGAGAGAGUGUAAGUUGGACCCCUGUUGUUAUCAUCAUUCGCACCUCACUGUUGCUCAAUUGUAUCUUUGUUACGUCGGCCCUACUGUAUUUCAUGUUAUCUAGUUGUUAUAUAAUUCCUUAUCGUUAGCCUCAUAGCAUAAUUGCCAAAGUCCUAUUUUAAGGUUCAUCUUGUAUUUAGCGUGAUUCAAUGAUUAUGGAAUGUAAAAAGCUCUCUUAUUGGCUUAAGAUUUUGCCAAUAAGGCUCAGUGAAUCUGCAGCGUUAGGAGAGUACAGUUAACUUAGAUAUCAAAAUUUGACCAAAAUAUGACUUGGGCAAUUAGGCUAUGAGGCUAACGAUAUGCUACACAGGUUAAGAAAAAUCUCAUUCAUUGUCCAUCAAGACCCUCUACAGUAUAUUGUUGUGUGACGGCCGUUUGACCAAAUUCUUAGAACAUCCCAAAUUGCUGUACAUGCUCACCUUUACCUCAUUUAAGCACAUCACAGCAUUUCGAAACAGCCCUUAAAAUAAACCACACAGACCCGAUACAUACCUUUACAUCCAGGGCCUUGAAAGGCCCCCGCAGGGCCCUUUACGACCACUUCCUGGACCCCAGGGCCAAUGGCUCCUGGAGGAGAGGAAGCCAUGGGUCAGCCUGUUGGAAAACAUGUUGUUCCUGCUCUGGAGGUCUCCGGAGGUGGAUGAACUCUAUCGGUGUCCAGGGGCCGCGUGGCCCACCGUCCUCCCGUCCCUCAUCCUGUCAUGACCCCCGUUAAACCCCCGUUAAACCAAGGGAUCCACUCACUCCUUCGCAGGAAAGACACUUUAUGACUUAUUGUUCAGGAGGAACAAAGGUUUUCCCCCAAUGCAGAGGUCGUUGCGGGACAGAUAACCCUUGUCGAAGAGACAUUGACAUAUCGUUAGCGGGGUGGCGGGUCUUGAUGGGAGAGGGGCUUGAUGGCCAAUAAGAAGAACUUCUUCUUUCCCUGAGUAGAAUAUCAUUAGCCUCAUAGCAUAAUUGCUCAAGUCAUAUUUUGGCUAAAUUGUGAUAUCUAACCUAAUGCUGCUGAUUCACUGGGUCUCAUUGACUAUAUACUCAGGCAUUUUCUUGACGCUAUAUGUACAAGAUGAAAAACACUAAAUUAGGUUUUCAUCUGUAGUUUAAAAGUCAACACUUGACACUAAAUACAAGAUGAAAAACACUAAAUUAGGUUUUCAUCUGUAGUUUAAAAGUCAACACUGGUUUGAUGAAAUCUAACCAAUAUUUGGGUGCUAUUUGUCAAAUCCACAGAAUAUUUAAAGCGUCUAUUUGGUUUGGUUAUUCUGUAGUGUGUUUCAAUAGGAUGUAUUGAAGGGAAUUGCCGCCAAACAAACAAACAAAACCAAAGGUCAACUUCAUCCUGGGUGGGGAUCCUCUCUUGCAGUUGAGCAAAGAAAUGACUCAAAGUGAAACUGACCGAACCACCUGCUGGGACAGUGAUUCAGGGUUGAUUGCUGGAUCGGUUUUGUUCCCAAUGCUGGCACUGCUGCUUUUCCAUUGCUUGCAGCUAACAACAGCCCACUCAUGGAAACUUUGACUGGGAUGGGUGAGCUGGGCCAGGACUUUGGUAUCGCGCCCUCUGUUAAUGUGGGUGGGCGGCUAUGUUUUUUGUAUUUGGGGUAAAAUGGAUCCCUUGUUUUGUGCUGGCCCUGUGAAUGUUUGAUUUCCCUGGUGUUUCCUGAAGAAUGGUUUACAUAAGCGUGCAGAGCCUCAGCAAGAAGCCUAACCUGUAUAACUAUAGUUUAUUUUAACAUUUAGACCUGAAGUUAACCUUUGUGGUUUGAACUUGUAAUACAAUAACACUAGGUAUGGUCCACUUAGUCUUCAGGAAAAUUGUACCUACCCUUUUUCGGUUUUACACACACACACGCACCCUUUUAUUAGUCACAGAACUUCUUUGUGCCAAAUGAGAUGUGAAAUGAUGUUGGGCAACACAAUAUAUUUCUACAGUGCUGCAGAUGAAGGCAAAGUUACAUAAAAUUAGGUAUACUGUACAAUGAUACACAAACCUCACCUAUAUAUUUGGGAAGCUUUUAAAGCUACGACACAGUAUUUUUUUUUCAAAGCUUUUUUUUUUCAAAUUUGGUUGGUCUGUAAAAAGGCCGUCCAAUCAUUUCAUUCCAAAGAACGAAAUGAUUAGAUGGCCUACCUUCCAUCUACCUACAUACCCAACUACUUGUGUGCACUGUGCCCGUGCACUCAUUGCGAAUGUCUUUCAGAAAGCUAGGCCGAGCUAUUGCUAGCUAGCGAGCCAGUCAAGUGUUUUGAAGGAGUGGCUUGGAGAGAGGCCUGGUUGGAUGGAUUCGGAUUUCUGUUGGAUACUUCCAAAAUGUUCUUAACUCUGGCUUGCUUCUCCAGGCUCCCUACCCUAGCUUCAAGCCUCACAUACUCUUGUCUACACCUUAUUCACCUUAAACUACUUUAAAGUACACCACAAAGCACUAACCCAUUGUAAAACAGCAGUUUUAUCAAGUCUGUGACAGGCAGAGGUUCUCAAGAGACUCGUUCGCCUUGGCAACCAAGUCAGUUACAGACCUCAAAGAAGAGAGUCCACAACACAGUGUUGGUUGAUGAGGGGUUAAUGUCUGCGGGGCUGGGUUCCUCUCCUGGGAGUCAUCCCUGAAGCCAAGGUCGUCCUGACCCAGAGGAAAGGGCGGCCAUUAAUGGCACAAACUGUUUCUGUUUCCUCUUUGGAGGGAUGGGCUGAGGACAUCUGAUGAGGGGGGAGUCCAGUCUCAGAUCCACAAGAGCAGAAUAUCAUGUCUGCCUGGAGACAAGGCGUAAUUGAGACUGACAGAGGCAUAUAGAGCCUUGUUUUCCCAGGUGGCUUCAGCUCUAAACCAGUGGUUCUCAAACCUCUUCUACUAGUGUACCCCCCUCUAAGAUAAUUAUUUUUUGGCUGAGUACCCCCUUCACCGGCACAAAACAAUUUUGGGAGAAAAUAUACCCACAAUUUGGUGAGAAACCUGGGUCUGUGCUUCAGGCACCUGUUAGCUAAUUACUCCCCACAAUAGAAGCACAACCCAGGGGAGAGUCAGAGCAUGUAGUGAUCCCAUUAUAAUAUAUUCCUCCUGAAACUGACGACAUUUUGAUGUUUCUGGAUGCGCUUUCUUUUUCAUAGAUUCUCCUUUCUCCUUGUUUUAAUUGCAACCACCAUUUCUAGAUUUUUUAUUGUCUAGCUUUCAGAAUUGAAACUUGCUCAGGGUGAAAAAAAUUAAAGUCUGAGUACCCCCUGCAGUACUCCACAGUACCUAUAUGGGUAUGCGUACCUCCAUUUGAGAACCACUGCUCUUCACCACCAAUGAAAAAACCCAAAUGUUCUGAUUCCUAUGCUUCUCAGCAUUUGUCCGGUCUUUCUUUGAAACUAGGUCAGGCAGCAUAUGGAAUUGGUUUUGCAGCCAUGCCGUUUUUUGCUUGCUGUCAGUAUCCCUUAUAAUUAACCUUUGCUGUCAGGAUCUAUUGUCCUUAGUGUGUUGAACUUGGCAAUGCUGCUGCUGCUUUGUGAGACAAUUAUUUAUGACAUUAUAAAGACUGGAGUCUAACACUGUGCAAUGAUCUUAAUCUUCAAAGAUUCUAAGGUUGUUUUUGUUUUUCAGUAAUCGUAGUGUACAGUUCCUUAUCUGUCUGGCAGAUAACUUUUACCACCUAGGUGGUGUUUGAUAUGCUGUUGACAACAGGGUAAUAAAGGUCUAGUAGGUUACAGAUAAUACUAAAUUUGUGUUACAAUUAAGCUACUCACAGGCUUCCAAACACCUUCGUGUUUGAGUAGCGAUGCGUGUUGUGUGUUGACAGUAUGAUCUUGAUCCUGUUUGUCAAUAAAGUUAAAAUUUGCUGACCUGCAUUGAUCUGUGAUGUCAACAUAGCUGGACUGAUGCUGUGUGGGAGCACAAUGGACAGCCAUGCUGCAAUGGUCAUCUCUGUGGAGAAUCACUUGUAAAACAUGGGUUUGGUAGAAAAUGGAAGUGGAAAGUAAGGUGUUAUAGGCUGAUGCAAGGCAAGAAACUAAACAUGUGAAGCCUUGAAGGGAUUAUUAUUAUUUGCUUUAUUGAGUUUUUUUUUCUAUAUUCUGAUGGGACAAUAGUAACUGAAUAUUUUCUUCACCACUGCUUUGUAUCUAAUAGGGCCAUACCAUCUACUGUGUAGCGCUGUGACAGAGAUUUCUCUCACAAACUCAUCUGAAACAUAAGGGCGCCCUCUUCUGCUAGGCUUUAGAAUUGCAGAUGGCUUUUCCACACAAGGCGUUUUUAGCCUCCGGACAACCCAUUAGUUCAGAGCGGAGACUCCAUUCACCAUUCUCUAAAAUUGGAUUUAAAACAUCCAAAUUAAGAGAAAAACAAACCAGCCUACGUUUGUGUGUUUAUGAAAACUCUAGGUGCCACACUUGCGGACAUUAGGAAAAAGUGUAAGUAUAUUAUUUCUGUUGAAUUAUAUAACUGUUGAGCGCGAUGAAGGAAAAUAUUGUAUUGCCGUGUGAGCGUUCUUAAUAUACAUUCAUGGUGUAAGCUCGCGAGAUUUCGCUCUUAAUUGCUGCCCGCUUACCAGAUGGCAAUUAAAAAACAAGCUUGUCAGCACUCCGCUCAACGGAACUGAAGCCUCCUAAAACUGACCGCAAAACAGUCAAAGUCGUUUUUACACAUCCUGAGGCUCCCAUUAACUGUCAAGCACACCCUUUAUACUUGUAGGCAGAGACAAGCGGGACUGUUUUUAAAGUAAUUGUGUGUGUCCUUUUGCAAUUACAAUUCACAAAGAUAGGGCGAUAUAAACAAAACCGCCAUUUACGUUGAGCGAAAUAUUCCAUCUGCAUGGAACAGUUUGUUAUGAUGCAGGGCCGGACCUGUACACCUCGGGGCCCUAAGCAGGAUAAUGUUGGGGCUCUGCUUUGAGGUUGAUAGAGUAGUUUUGCCACAGAGAACAAGCAACAUAUGCAUUCAUAACCCUUACGGUUUUUAUCCACAACUCUUUGAACAUGAUUAGCUGCAAUUAAUUUACUACUUAUUAAGUAUACUCACUUAAACAGUCAAAGUAAAGCUUACACACUUACCACAUUUCUACUUCUACUUUACUGUCUGAAUCCCUUGUGAAUUUAAAACAGCACUAACUGUUUUGUCCACUUGGCGGCUUACAACCUUCAGUAUUAAAACAUCUUCAAUAAAGUUGCUGGAGUCUUGAACUGCUUUUUCUAUUCACAUUUAAAAGAGGUGAAAGUUGAAAUUAUAUUUUGAUUGUAAAGGGUGUUAAUCAUAUACUCUUGAUUUGGCAGAGAGAUUAAAGAUUAAACGAAGAUUUUAGAUUCAGUUUGUAUUUAUUUUUUAGAAGAUCUUCAAGAUAAUGAUAAAUUCCUCAACAAUAACACUGCAACACAAUUAUAACUUCAGGUAAAUUAGCCAAAAAUCUAAAAUAUAUAGGGUUACUUUCCUGCUUACUGCGGUGAGGGUUUCGUAUAAUUUAAUUAAUUAAGGGCGCCACCAGAGGGCGCCCCCGACACAUUUGCCACCCUGGGCGAUAUAUAUAUAUUUUUCUUCCUCCAUGGGCCCCUGACGCCGUCUGGGCCCCAGGCAGCUGCACCGGUUGCACCGUCGAUAUUUAGCCACUGUCUCUGAAUAAUAUUGUUGCGGUUUUUGUGCGUUGAAAUGUCAGGGUUAAACAUUAACCCAACUCUGCAGAGUUGUAAUUACGUUCCGCCCAUGCAUUUCACGCACCAUUUUCUACCUCUCAUGCAAUACAGUGUGCAAUUGAGUCAAAUUUACUGAAGAAGUAUAAAUUGGUGCUCUGUAUUUCAGUAUGAACAUGAAACAUCUACAGUGAAUAUAUGCAUUACAAAACGUAUUUAAUGCCAGGCAAAUUUGUCCUGGUGAUUAGCCAAUUAGUAGUCUAUGCUAAUUGGCUUAUCACCAACACAUGGUUGGUGAUUAGCCAAUUAGCAGUCUAUGCUACUUGGCUAAGCUAACCAUGUGUUACUAAAACUGUCUUAUACUUAAUCAAUCAUGAUUUUUUUGGCUUUAAUUAGUGUGGUUGCUACUACUGCUUAAGACAUCGUAACUAAAUUGACUGCGUUCAAACCAUUCAACAUAUCUACACACUUGCAGAUAUAUCUAAAAGGAUUUUUUAUAUCAUUUAUACUUUGUUCAGAAUCAGUUUAAGUUCCAUUUCAGCUUCCUUUUGGGUUGGUCUCAUUGAUUUACACUGAGGUUAGAAUGGGGAGGACGUACAGGCAGUGUUUAGACUGGGUACCCCCCCCCCCCCCCCCCCCGCCCAUUCUGCCAGCGAUUUGAAUACGCCCUGCACAAGGGUCUUGAGAAGAGCAAUACAUUUCUUCGAUACGUUUUUGCGUGCCCCCCUGGUGCGCUAUUGGCUGGUUUAACACAAUGACGACAGCGAAGCAACGGAAAGCAGCCAAUUGCAUACAGAGUCGUUUGAAUUAGGGCCGUUGAUCACGCCUCUUGUGCUGAAGAAAAUGACAGCAGCUUCCCCAGACCAGCGUGCAAUCUACGAUUGAGCUUGGUCUGGCAAUUGCCGGGCUAGGCAGUGUUGCCAGAUUGGGCAGUUUACCAUCUGCGGCAUUUUAGCACACUCACACACACACACGCAUUCUAGUUUUUACCGUUCUUCCUUUAAAUGUUUAUUUACCUUGUCAAACUUCCUUGCAUGUUUCAGAAAAGAUCCUGGUCCAGGUGAAGUACGGCCAACAGCAGAAGUAUGUGAAGUUGGAUGAGGAUGAAGGACGGUUUGACUUUCGGCAAUUCCAUGAAAAAGUCAUCGAGAGAUUUUGCCUGCCACCGGAUGCUAAAGUUACAUACAAGGAUGCAACAGGGACAGAAGUUAAUGCCUUCAGCUCAAGUGCAUCAUCUGUCAUCCUAGACGAGGUCUAUAGCAAGAGACAUAGAAACGAGGAUACACGUGAUGCUGCGUCUGCCAAACAGGUUUCUUAACACUUAACACAAACUGGCCAUGCAUAAAUGUGCUAAUUUGCCAUUGCAUAAAUGUACUAAUUUACUAAUUGAAUAUCUCCUCUCAGGCACCUCCCCACUAAAGCAAUCAGAGAAGAUUAUGCACAUUGUCUAUUGAUUCUGUUCCCUUCCCUCAAGAAUCCAUGUUCCAAGAAGGGCUAAGUAAUAGUCAUUAUUAUUGGUUACAUUAUUAUUGUUUACACUUGCACAACAUGAAAAGUGGUUUACACCACUUUUCAAGGAAAUAUGUUUAAGAAAUAUUUUUGGAAAUUCCAAAAACAUAACUAAAUCACCUACUGAAAAGCAUCAGAAGGCCAUUGCUUACAACUUGGAAAACUUCUCCCUUAUGUAUGUAUUUAAGUUAUUUAAAAUAAUAAUAAUUUAAAAAAAACGGAAACUUUUCUGUUUGUUGUCCAUGCAUCACACAUUGUUUAAUUGCAAAAUAGUAUAGUAAAGCUAUAAUGGCAUGAAAAUGUCACUUUCUGAAGUUUUCUAACAUCAAUAUGAGUUCCCCUAGCCUACCAGCCCUUACACAGAGGUCCCACGGAUGUCAACAUUAGACGUUCGGUAGAAAAAGACGUUACCUGGCGUUACAAAACAACCCCUUCAGUGGACCAAAAUUUGACGACCAAUAAUGAUGACUGAGUUUGCGUGCAUGCUAUGCGUAGGCUGAAUCACAAUCGUGUUAAGACAAAUCCGAUUGGCCAAUACACACUGAAGAUAAAUUCAAUAAUUUUUAAAUGACAAAAAUGAUCCCUCUCUGGCGAACAGAUUGUUGUAGCAGGCAAAAAAAAUAAAUAAAAAUUAUCUGCAUCGAGACAGAAUCGUUCUAGCGAGAAUCGCGAUGCAUCGAAGAAUCGAUUAUUUUUCCCAUCCCUAGUAAUUUAUGUACAGCCUAAUUGGUGUUAAGGACUACCGAGUGUAGAUCUACUGAUUGUUGUGUAGGUCUAACUGCUUGUUUAAGGACCAAGGGAAACAAAGUUUGUUCAGUCGGUUAUAAUGCAUCUGAACACAGCCACAAAAAGCUAGCUCCGACAACUUCCCCCAGCUUCAGCACGUGUUGUCCAGACGUUUGUCAUUUUGACAGUUGGUGGACGGUGACACAAUGGACGCCUGUGUCUGCAGUGUCCUCAACACAUCUGGGAGGGUCCCCCAGGUUUUCAUAGGUAGCCUCAUCAUCGCUAAAUUCAUCAGGAUCCGCUUGGUCCUGUAAGAACCAAAAAUACAUUUUUUUGGAAUGUUCCUUUGAAUCUCCAUGAAAUGUUCCUUUGAGGGGUUGUCAACGUAUUUCCUCAUUUGACAAUAAAUGUAAUGGGUACAACUGUGUACAAACAGAAUUAAACAGACAUAAACAGACUAUAAUAGGCUGUUACCCAUACAAGAAAACGAGGUCAUUAAAACUCUGCUGCUUUCUGCUCCCACUUUGAGCCAUACUUUACGAAAGUUAAUGGUGUUGACUGGUGAUUUGUUCCACAAUUUACAGAUUUCAUGAUUGGGAAAUUCUAUUUUAUUAGAGAAGCCAAGCCAGGUUCUUAUCACGGAGAUUCAGAUUGAAAUGUAAACUUUUUAGAGGUUGCUCUGUGGACUCCCACCCAACCUUCUCUGUGUGUGUGUGUGUGUGUGUGUGUGUGUGUGUGUGUGUGUGUGUGUGUGUGUGUGUGUGUGUGUGUGUGUGUGUGUGUGUGUGUGUGUGUGUGUGUGUGUGUGUGUGUGUGUGUGUGUGUGUGUGAAUGGGUGAACGAGUCUCACCUCGUCACUGGCCCCUGGGCCGAGGUGUACUCUGGCUGGUGGUGCGUCACUGGCAGAGUUCAGACCCUGCACCCAAGACAGUCCGCAGUUAGUCCUGCUCACAUCCCUCUAGCAGCCACCGCCCUCCAAAGGGACUGACACUCUACAACUAUCACUGCAACGCAUCAACAUUGGAGAAGCUGUCGUUUAAAAAUAGACUAGACCGAGUUCAGAUCAGCCAAUUAGAUCAUUCAUAAGUGGUAUUUUAAAGAGUUAUAUAUCAUGUUUCAAAGGGUUUUCUAUAUCCCACAACAACUCAACAAAGUGCAUUGUAGACUUCAAGAGCUGCUAGAUAAUCACAAAUCAGCAAAAGUCUGUUGACACGUUCAAAUGCCCCCCCCCCCCGUACCACAACAUUGUUACUGUAAUUAUCAAUAAUAUUUCGUUAAAUGGAAGCACCCUUUGCUAGCUUUGACCUGCUUAGUGUGGAUCGUUGUAAUAUUCUCCACUUGUUGAGCAACACAGUAAAUAGAGAACAAGUCAACCUUGCCACGAACACAACCUGGGACUGUAAUUCAUCCUCUUUGGUGUUUAACUCACAAUGCACUCUUCUGUUGCCGUCUGGUUACCUGGUGGAGAGAAAGCCACAGUCAGUGUUUCUAUGGCGAUAUAAACAGGUGUGUAGAUGGAGACGUGACAACAAACAUCCCCUAACCCCAAGGACUAGACUUUAACCCUUCUAGGGAGGGUUAAACAAGGAAAACGCCACAAGAUAGUAAUAGGUGGUGCAUUUUUGUUUGAUGUUGUUCACUAAAUAAAAACUCUUCAAGACCAAUUUAGUCUUAAAAUGGAACACAUAUGAGGGACCUUUCAUUCCUCUCUCUCUCUCUCUCUCUCUCUCUCUCUCUCUCUCUGACUCUCUCUCUCUCUGACUCUCCCUUAAUCUUUCUCUCUCCCUCUCUUUUCUUCUCUCUCUCCUCUUUCUGCAAAAAUACAAUGUUGUUAUCAAGGGUUUAUAUUAGAUACAGUUUGUGUGGCUGCAAAGGGAAGUUGGAACUGAUCAAAUGAUUUCUCUGAAAUGAUAGGGCAUUGACGGCAGGAUGUAAAAGAGACAUUGCAGACAAUGUGAAGAAUAUUAUCUUAGAAUUUUUUCUGGUCAUUUGGGGUUUGCAAUCCUUUUGAUCUCAACCAAUCUGUAACUUACACAUGGGCAGGAUAUGACUAACAUUGUCUAUGUAUUAUACUUAUAUAUACUCUCUCUCUCUCUCUCUCUCUCUCUCUCUCUCUCUCUGACUCUCUCUCUCUCUGACUCUCUCUCUCUCUCUCUCUGACUCUCCCUUAAUCUUUCUCUCUCCCUCUCUUUUCUUCUCUCUCUCUCCUCUUUCUGCAAAAAUACAAUGUUGUUAUCAAGGGUUUAUAUUAGAUACAGUUUGUGUGGCUGCAAAGGGAAGUUGGAACUGAUCAAAUGAUUUCUCUGAAAUGAUAGGGCAUUGACGGCAGGAUGUAAAAGAGACAUUGCAGACAAUGUGAAGAAUAUUAUCUUAGAAAUUUUUCUGGUCAUUUGGGGUUUGCAAUCCUUUUGAUCUCAACCAAUCUGUAACUUACACAUGGGCAGGAUAUGACUAACAUUGUCUAUGUAUUAUACUUAUUUAUUCUACUUCAUUUAAGAAUGCUCGAUUCUGAUUGGCUGGGAGGGGUGCAUUAAUCCGGCAUAUUGCCCGCUGACUUGUCGGUUCUACUUGCUGCUGACUGAGCACAGUAGAUCAAUACGCCGCUUGUAUCGUUUUCUAUCACAUACAUUUCAAACAUGAGGUCCGUUGUAAAAAUAAACCAAGGAGUGCAUGUUUGAUCGAUCGUCAUUAAAGCUGACUUGAUACGAAUGUAACAACUACGUUGUUAAACUAGUGAUCAGUUGCAACCUCGUGUGGUUGCUAUAGAAACGAGUUACCUACAGCUGAGCUAACGUUAUUCACCGUAGUUCUAAAGGGAACUACUUUUCGAGGGAGAUGAACUUAAACAGAGCAUACAUUUAAUAAGCAUGCAAUACGAAUAAGAAAAAGGCUAAUUAUUAAAGUAUUUGAAUUGUUUUAUUAUGUUGGCCGGCGCGAAGUAGAAUAAACGGAAUAAUCACCUCAAGGCCGGGCAAUAAACAGUUUGAUAUGCCCGGC